UCCUGACUGACCGAUAGUGAACCAGUACCGUGAGGGAAAGGCGAAAAGAACCCCGGCGAGGGGAGUGAAAAAGAACCUGAAACCGUGUACGUACAAGCAGUGGGAGCACGCUUAGGCGUGUGACUGCGUACCUUUUGUAUAAUGGGUCAGCGACUUAUAUUCUGUAGCAAGGUUAACCGAAUAGGGGAGCCGAAGGGAAACCGAGUCUUAACUGGGCGUUAAGUUGCAGGGUAUAGACCCGAAACCCGGUGAUCUAGCCAUGGGCAGGUUGAAGGUUGGGUAACACUAACUGGAGGACCGAACCGACUAAUGUUGAAAAAUUAGCGGAUGACUUGUGGCUGGGGGUGAAAGGCCAAUCAAACCGGGAGAUAGCUGGUUCUCCCCGAAAGCUAUUUAGGUAGCGCCUCGUGAAUUCAUCUCCGGGGGUAGAGCACUGUUUCGGCAAGGGGGUCAUCCCGACUUACCAACCCGAUGCAAACUGCGAAUACCGGAGAAUGUUAUCACGGGAGACACACGGCGGGUGCUAACGUCCGUCGUGAAGAGGGAAACAACCCAGACCGCCAGCUAAGGUCCCAAAGUCAUGGUUAAGUGGGAAACGAUGUGGGAAGGCCCAGACAGCCAGGAUGUUGGCUUAGAAGCAGCCAUCAUUUAAAGAAAGCGUAAUAGCUCACUGGUCGAGUCGGCCUGCGCGGAAGAUGUAACGGGGCUAAACCAUGCACCGAAGCUGCGGCAGCGACGCUGAUGCGUUGUUGGGUAGGGGAGCGUUCUGUAAGCCUGUGAAGGUGUGCUGUGAGGCAUGCUGGAGGUAUCAGAAGUGCGAAUGCUGACAUAAGUAACGAUAAAGCGGGUGAAAAGCCCGCUCGCCGGAAGACCAAGGGUUCCUGUCCAACGUUAAUCGGGGCAGGGUGAGUCGACCCCUAAGGCGAGGCCGAAAGGCGUAGUCGAUGGGAAACAGGUUAAUAUUCCUGUACUUGGUGUUACUGCGAAGGGGGGACGGAGAAGGCUAUGUUGGCCGGGCGACGGUUGUCCCGGUUUAAGCGUGUAGGCUGGUUUUCCAGGCAAAUCCGGAAAAUCAAGGCUGAGGCGUGAUGACGAGGCACUACGGUGCUGAAGCAACAAAUGCCCUGCUUCCAGGAAAAGCCUCUAAGCAUCAGGUAACAUCAAAUCGUACCCCAAACCGACACAGGUGGUCAGGUAGAGAAUACCAAGGCGCUUGAGAGAACUCGGGUGAAGGAACUAGGCAAAAUGGUGCCGUAACUUCGGGAGAAGGCACGCUGAUAUGUAGGUGAAGCGACUUGCUCGUGGAGCUGAAAUCAGUCGAAGAUACCAGCUGGCUGCAACUGUUUAUUAAAAACACAGCACUGUGCAAACACGAAAGUGGACGUAUACGGUGUGACGCCUGCCCGGUGCCGGAAGGUUAAUUGAUGGGGUCAGCGCAAGCGAAGCUCUUGAUCGAAGCCCCGGUAAACGGCGGCCGUAACUAUAACGGUCCUAAGGUAGCGAAAUUCCUUGUCGGGUAAGUUCCGACCUGCACGAAUGGCGUAAUGAUGGCCAGGCUGUCUCCACCCGAGACUCAGUGAAAUUGAACUCGCUGUGAAGAUGCAGUGUACCCGCGGCAAGACGGAAAGACCCCGUGAACCUUUACUAUAGCUUGACACUGAACAUUGAGCCUUGAUGUGUAGGAUAGGUGGGAGGCUUUGAAGUGUGG
Molecule: ribosomal RNA, 1708 nt
Filed under: Escherichia coli
Lineage: Bacteria; Pseudomonadati; Pseudomonadota; Gammaproteobacteria; Enterobacterales; Enterobacteriaceae
Description: partial 23S ribosomal RNA
Rfam family: Bacterial large subunit ribosomal RNA
Source: RNAcentral